This 460-nucleotide ribosomal RNA is filed under the name uncultured bacterium. Its description in RNAcentral is "partial 16S ribosomal RNA". It matches the Rfam family "Bacterial small subunit ribosomal RNA", at positions 338 to 795 of the family's 1533-position model. The record is from RNAcentral.
CCUACGGGAGGCAGCAGUGAGGAAUAUUGGUCAAUGGACGAGAGCCUGAACCAGCCAAGUAGCGUGAAGGAUGAAUGCCCUAUGGGUUGUAAACUUCUUUUAUAUGGGAAUAAAAUGUUGCACGUGUGGGAUUUUGUAUGUACCAUAUGAAUAAGGAUCGGCUAACUCCGUGCCAGCAGCCGCGGUAAUACGGAGGAUCCGAGCGUUAUCCGGAUUUAUUGGGUUUAAAGGGAGCGUAGGUGGAUUGUUAAGUCAGUUGUGAAAGUUUGCGGCUCAACCGUAGAAUUGCCGUUGAAACUGGCAGUCUUGAGUACAGUAGAGGUAGGCGGAAUGCGUGGUGUAGCGGUGAAAUGCUUAGAUAUCACGAAGAACUCCGAUUGCGAAGGCAGCUCACUGGGCUGCAACUGACACUGAGGCUCGAAAGUGUGGGUAUCAAACAGGAUUAGAUACCCGGGUAGUC